This is a long non-coding RNA of Oncorhynchus tshawytscha (Chinook salmon), 172 nucleotides long. RefSeq lists it as uncharacterized. NCBI's taxonomy places the organism in Eukaryota, Metazoa, Chordata, Actinopteri, Salmoniformes, Salmonidae. The transcript has 2 exons. The record is from RefSeq and is a predicted model, not a curated record.
GUAGAGUAGUGGUCAGUAUGGGUAGGGAUCCUUGUAGAGUAGUGGUCAGUAUGGGUAGGGGGUCCUUGUAGAGAAGUGGUCAGUAUGGGUAGGGGUCCUUGUAGAGUAGUGGUCAGUAUGGGUAGGAAUCCUUGUAGAGUAGUGGUCAGUAUGGGUCCUUGUAGAGUAGUGG